This 400-nucleotide ribosomal RNA is filed under the name uncultured Porphyromonadaceae bacterium. RNAcentral's name for it is "bacterial SSU rRNA". It matches the Rfam family "Bacterial small subunit ribosomal RNA", at positions 355 to 753 of the family's 1533-position model. The record is from RNAcentral. Lineage: Bacteria; Pseudomonadati; Bacteroidota; Bacteroidia; Bacteroidales; Porphyromonadaceae.
UGAGGAAUAUUGGUCAAUGGACGCAAGUCUGAACCAGCCAAGUCGCGUGCAGGAAUAAGGCCCUAUGGGUCGCAGACUGCUUUUGCAUGAGAAUAAAAAGUGGGACGAGUCCCACCCUGUAGGUAUCAUGCGAAUAAGGAUCGGCUAACUCCGUGCCAGCAGCCGCGGUAAUACGGAGGAUGCGAGCGUUAUCCGGAUUUAUUGGGUUUAAAGGGUGCGCAGGCGGCGCGCCAAGUCAGCGGUCAAAGUUCCGGGCUCAACCCGGUGUCGCCGUUGAAACUGGCGUGCUCGAGUGCGUGCGAGGAAGGCGGAAUGCGUUGUGUAGCGGUGAAAUGCAUAGAUAUGACGCAGAACUCCGAUUGCGAAGGCAGCUUUCCAGCGCGCUACUGACGCUGAGGCA